Molecule: ribosomal RNA, 449 nt
Filed under: uncultured bacterium
Lineage: Bacteria
Description: bacterial SSU rRNA
Rfam family: Bacterial small subunit ribosomal RNA
Source: RNAcentral
GGCCAGACUCCUACGGGAGGCAGCAGUGGGGAAUAUUGCACAAUGGGGGAAACCCUGAUGCAGCGACGCCGCGUGAGUGAAGAAGUAUUUCGGUAUGUAAAGCUCUAUCAGCAGGGAAGAAAAUGACGGUACCUGACUAAGAAGCCCCGGCUAACUACGUGCCAGCAGCCGCGGUAAUACGUAGGGGGCAAGCGUUAUCCGGAUUUACUGGGUGUAAAGGGAGCGUAGACGGCAUGGCAAGUCAGAUGUGAAAGCCCGGGGCUCAACCCCGGGACUGCAUUUGAAACUGUCAGGCUGGAGUGCAGGAGAGGUAAGUGGAAUUCCUAGUGUAGCGGUGAAAUGCGUAGAUAUUAGGAGGAACACCAGUGGCGAAGGCGGCUUACUGGACUGUAACUGACGUUGAGGCUCGAAAGCGUGGGGAGCAAACAGGAUUAGAUACCCCAGUAACA